CCUACGGGUGGCUGCAGUGGGGAAUAUUGGACAAUGGGGGGAACCCUGAUCCAGCCAUGCCGCGUGUGUGAAGAAGGCCCUCGGGUUGUAAAGCACUUUCAGUGAGGAAGAACGCCUGGUGGUUAAUACCCAUCAGGAAAGACAUCACUCACAGAAGAAGCACCGGCUAACUCCGUGCCAGCAGCCGCGGUAAUACGGAGGGUGCGAGCGUUAAUCGGAAUUACUGGGCGUAAAGCGCGCGUAGGUGGCUUGAUAAGCCGGUUGUGAAAGCCCCGGGCUCAACCUGGGAACGGCAUCCGGAACUGUCAAGCUAGAGUGCCGGAGAGGAAGGUAGAAUUCCCGGUGUAGCGGUGAAAUGCGUAGAGAUCGGGAGGAAUACCAGUGGCGAAGGCGGCCUUCUGGACUGACACUGACACUGAGGUGCGAAAGCGUGGGUAGCAAACAGGAUUAGAUACCCGGGUAGUC
This 465-nucleotide ribosomal RNA is filed under the name Vreelandella stevensii. Its description in RNAcentral is "partial 16S ribosomal RNA". It matches the Rfam family "Bacterial small subunit ribosomal RNA", at positions 338 to 795 of the family's 1533-position model. The record is from RNAcentral. Lineage: Bacteria; Pseudomonadati; Pseudomonadota; Gammaproteobacteria; Oceanospirillales; Halomonadaceae.